GACGAACGCUGGCGGCGUGCCUAACACAUGCAAGUCGAACGGGGUGUUCCUUCGGGGACACUUAGUGGCGAACGGGUGAGUAACGCGUGAGAAACCUGCCUUUCAGUGGGGGACAACAGUUGGAAACGACUGCUAAUACCGCAUAACACUUUUAAGGGGCAUCCCUUUUAAGUCAAAGCUUUAUGUGCUGAAAGAUGGUCUCGCGUCUGAUUAGCUAGUUGGUGAGGUAACGGCUCACCAAGGCGACGAUCAGUAGCCGGUCUGAGAGGAUGAACGGCCACAUUGGGACUGAGAUACGGCCCAGACUCCUACGGGAGGCAGCAGUGGGGAAUAUUGCGCAAUGGGGGAAACCCUGACGCAGCAACGCCGCGUUGAGGAUGAAGGCUUUCGGGUUGUAAACUCAUGUCUGGUGGGAAGAUAAUGACGGUACCACCGGAGGAAGUCACGGCUAACUACGUG
RNAcentral lists this ribosomal RNA (459 nucleotides) under uncultured bacterium. RNAcentral describes it as "bacterial SSU rRNA". It matches the Rfam family "Bacterial small subunit ribosomal RNA", at positions 28 to 507 of the family's 1533-position model. The record is from RNAcentral.